Molecule: unclassified non-coding RNA, 209 nt
Filed under: Hevea brasiliensis (rubber tree)
Lineage: Eukaryota; Viridiplantae; Streptophyta; Magnoliopsida; Malpighiales; Euphorbiaceae
Source: RNAcentral
AGUGCUAAAUGCGCUUAACUGCUGGCCAAUUGGUGAAUGCAUAUGUUGUGGCACUUUGUGGAUUGCAAAUAAAUAUCAGGCCUAGUGAAGGAGAGGUAUUGAAGACCUCCGACAAUUGUUCGAUAUGGGGUCGGAUCAUCAAAUGAGCUUUGUUUUGGUGCACGCUAGAGUAGAAAUUCCGUUACAGUUAUUCAUAUGUGCCUUAGACA